UCCCUGGUGGUCUAGUGGCUAAGACUCUGUCUUUCCAAUGCAGGGUGCCUGGGUUCAACUCCUGGUCAGAGAA
This 73-nucleotide transfer RNA is filed under the name Bos taurus (domestic cattle). It matches the Rfam family "tRNA". From Rfam's summary of the family: Transfer RNA (tRNA) molecules are approximately 80 nucleotides in length. Their secondary structure includes four short double-helical elements and three loops (D, anti-codon, and T loops). The record is from Rfam by way of RNAcentral. RNAcentral also lists the same sequence under 5 other names. Lineage: Eukaryota; Metazoa; Chordata; Mammalia; Artiodactyla; Bovidae.